Molecule: small nuclear RNA, 151 nt
Organism: Lolium rigidum
Lineage: Eukaryota; Viridiplantae; Streptophyta; Magnoliopsida; Poales; Poaceae
Product: U4 spliceosomal RNA
Exons: 1
Source: RefSeq, a predicted model, not a curated record
CGCCUUGUGCAUGGGGCAAUGAUGUAGCUAGUGAGGUUAUACUGAUGCAGGUCAAUUGCUGGUUGAAAACUAUUUCCAAACCCCCUCUUUGGCCCUCUAGGGUUAUUGAGAAUUUCCGGAAGGGUUCCCUCUCUUCGUAGAUGGUAAAACC